CACCGCGGUUAUACGAGAGGCCCAAGUUGAAAGAACCCGGCGUAAGGGGUGGUUAAGUUAGAAUUUACACUAAAGUCGAACAUCCUCACGGCUGUUAUACGCACCCGAAGACAAGAAGACCAACCACGAAGGUAGCUUUAUUUAAUCUGAAUCCACGAAAGCUACGACA
RNAcentral lists this ribosomal RNA (169 nucleotides) under Gymnelus hemifasciatus (halfbarred pout). RNAcentral describes it as "partial 12S rRNA". The record is from RNAcentral. Lineage: Eukaryota; Metazoa; Chordata; Actinopteri; Perciformes; Zoarcidae.